UGGCUGCGGAGCCCGGGGAGGAGGGAGGGGGAGCGGGGAGCGAGCCGGAGGUGCGAGGGGAGCCGGGGAGCAAGGGGGGGGGGGAGGCGGCGCCGCGCUGCCCCGGUGCCCCGCGCCGCUUCAGAGGGGCAUCCCCGGGCGCAGCCGCUCCUGGUCCAUCGCUCGCUUCGGCAGGUCCGGGCGGGCCGCGGAGAGGAGCUCUUUAGUCCAGCGUCAUUGAGGGGUGUCAGGGAGAUAAACGAAGCAGAUUUAUAUACAAUCCAAUUUAUAGCCUGGAAGGAGGGGGGGGGGGGAGAAAUGCCACUUGUACCCCCCCGCCCACUCCGCCCCCGCAAGACAACAAUCCACAGGCCGUGGGUGCAGGUCUCUUGAGCAGGUCGGCUCCGCGCCGCGCCGCUCGGUUGUCCCCCUUCAGCGCCCGCUGCUUCUCAACGUGCCAUCAAAGUUGACCCGGAGCAUAGCUGGGGAGGGGCCGGGGGCGGCGGGGAGGGGGUACGCGGCUGGCAGCUCCACAGUUGCGAGUCUUCUCCCCCCACCGCCCCGCUUAUUAUUAGCGAGAUGCUUUUAUUUUCAAGGCAGCGCGGAGGGUCCGGAGUCCGGCGAGGAUGCUGCGGCGGCGCCCGGCGCGGCCCCCGCCGCGGGCAGCGGUACCGCACGCUGCGCGGCCGCGGAGCGGGGAAUCGGCUCGAUCCCGGCGAUCCCAGGAGAAGCUGCACGGAUCCACUCGUGGAAGGUCUCGGGGAAGCGGUUCGCUCCUCGCUUAUCUUCCUCUGAUCUCCUCCUGCUAAUAUUCCCCCCCUGCAAAAUCACGACAUUGUGGCACUUUCUACUGAAACUUUUAUACAGGAGUUAAAACCACGUGGGAACUCCAACCUAUAACAGAGACGCCAUGGGUUCCUCACUAUUUAGGAGAUUAAGUUAAGUCUUUUGCCCCCUGGGCUAUUACAGUAACUUCCUGAUGUGGAAAUAUUAA
Long non-coding RNA from Harpia harpyja (harpy eagle), 973 nucleotides. RefSeq lists it as uncharacterized. Lineage: Eukaryota; Metazoa; Chordata; Aves; Accipitriformes; Accipitridae. The record is from RefSeq and is a predicted model, not a curated record. The transcript has 2 exons.